Long non-coding RNA from Mauremys reevesii (Reeves's turtle), 265 nucleotides. RefSeq lists it as uncharacterized. NCBI's taxonomy places the organism in Eukaryota, Metazoa, Chordata, Testudines, Geoemydidae. The transcript has 3 exons. The record is from RefSeq and is a predicted model, not a curated record.
GAGGAAGUGGAGAGAGGGAGGGAUGGAAGUCCAGGCAUUUCAAAACAAAUAAAUGGCUGUUGUGGAGUCCCGUGAUGGUGGGAAAUGAGGACCCAGGUUAGGAUUGGAAAGGUGACUGGACUUUGAAGGAGAAAGCCCAUGUUUGGACAAGAAUAUUUUUCAUAAUUAGGAUAUGUGACAAAGAAAAUUAGGAAAUGGAAGAAUAUGCUUAUAGGCACUCUGGGAUGGAACCUAGGAGUCAGCAUGUGAGAUCUAUAUGUCUAUG